GAGACGCAGCCCUUGCUGUUUUGUCGGAGGCGCGGUGCAUCCUCCCCUGAUGGGGUCCGGGCCUGACCGUCCUGGCCCUGCCCACGCGCCCCCCCCAUCUCCUGUCCUCCUCUGCUGGAAACGAACCUCCAGCCAAGAGGGAAACAGCUCAACACACCCUAUCAGCUUUAUUUAUUCGGGAGGAAAGCGCCUCCUUUGCGUUUGCCGCCGGAGAGAAAGCUGCGCCUGGAGGUGAACAGCGUGGCUUACGGGGAACAGCCUCAGCGAUGGAUGGGGAAAGACGCCCCGACUCCUCGAAGACGUCCUGAUUUCUACCAGAUGUUUCCAGAUGAGCUGCUGAACUGGCUGACUUUUCCUACACGUCUCCAGGAAAGGAGAUCCUUCCAGCCUGAGCCCGCCACCCGGACCUCAACCGCGUUGGCGCAGACCGCGCCCCUGACCUCUGCUGUCCCCCACCCCGGCCGAGAGGGAAGAUCCCCCAUUUAAGACUUAGACCUGCAAAACCCUUUGGGGCCUGAGGCUUCACUUAGAAGAGGCCAUUUCCUGCCUCAGGUCCCCACCCUGCCCCGUGCAGAGUGAGUGCCCCCAAGGCGUGAAGAACCUUCUGGAUGAGCACGGGGCACACGGCGGACACAGUUAGCGCCUUCCAGGUCCGGUUGGUGUUUCUGGGUCACUGCUCCUCCGCCAGCACCUCGCGCCAGCCAAGCCCACAAAUGCCCUCAGUUAACGUGGAUGGAAUGAACAAAUGGACAGAUUCAUUUUAUUCUCAGCAGAAGUAAAGUGAUAAAGGCAACGUCCCCAGCUCACAGGUGUCCAUCAGAAGCAACAAAAAGGACCCGGAUGUACACACUUCUGUCUCUGGAAUGAAGAGUGAUGUCAGAUGUCCACGGGCUCAUUUGAUGGACACGCAUCUCUUACCUUGGCCCUGAGAGACCCAGAGCCCAGCCGCCAGGCUCGCUGGCCACGCGGUUCCUUUGGACCUCGGGAGGGCCGCCCUGACCUCGUGGCACCCAGAAAGCAGGGGGGGAAGAGAGCAAACGUCAGCUGGCAUUUGGUGGCUUUGAUCAAUUGAUUUUAUGAGACAAGACUGUGGGAUGUGGAGGUUGGCUCGCUCUGACUCUCGACUUACUCAUUUCCUGAGACAAGGCGACGGCGCGGCCAGGCAGGCGGCAGGCUCGGUGUGAGCGGCCAGGUGACCGCGUGUCUGCUCCCGUCCUAUCGCGUGUCUGUGCUUUGCUUCUGGAAAUCUCUAAAAAUUUUGAACGUUAUCAUUGUCAUUUCAAAAGGGAGGGGAGGGUCCCUUGGUGGCUCAGCGGUUUAGCACCUGCCUCCGGCCCAGGGCGUGAUCCUGGGGACCUGGGAUCGAGUCCCACGUCGGGUUCCCUGCAUGGAGCCUGCUUCUC
This is a long non-coding RNA of Canis lupus familiaris (dog), 1403 nucleotides long. RefSeq lists it as uncharacterized. The transcript has 4 exons. NCBI's taxonomy places the organism in Eukaryota, Metazoa, Chordata, Mammalia, Carnivora, Canidae. The record is from RefSeq and is a predicted model, not a curated record.